UUUAUUGGAGAGUUUGAUCCUGGCUCAGGGUGAACGCUGGCGGCGUGCCUAAGACAUGCAAGUCGAGCGGGGCAGGUUUAUACCUGUUCAGCGGCGGACGGGUGAGUAACGCGUGGGUGACCUACCCGGAAGAGGCGGACAACCUGGGGAAACCCAGGCUAAUCCGCCAUGUGGUCCUAUCCUGUGGGGCAGGACUAAAGGGUGGAUAGCCCGCUUCCGGAUGGGCCCGCGUCCCAUCAGCUAGUUGGUGGGGUAAAGGCCCACCAAGGCGACGACGGGUAGCCGGUCUGAGAGGAUGGCCGGCCACAGGGGCACUG
Molecule: ribosomal RNA, 317 nt
Filed under: Thermus scotoductus
Lineage: Bacteria; Thermotogati; Deinococcota; Deinococci; Thermales; Thermaceae
Description: bacterial SSU rRNA
Rfam family: Bacterial small subunit ribosomal RNA
Source: RNAcentral